Piliocolobus tephrosceles (Ugandan red Colobus) is the source of this 1257-nucleotide RNA transcript. It is a transcript of the gene named solute carrier family 2, facilitated glucose transporter member 3 pseudogene, with no coding region annotated. The record is from RefSeq and is a predicted model, not a curated record. The transcript has a single exon. NCBI's taxonomy places the organism in Eukaryota, Metazoa, Chordata, Mammalia, Primates, Cercopithecidae.
AUGAUCGGCUCCUUUUACAUCUGACUCUUUGUCAACCGCUUUGGCAGGCAUAAUUCAACGCUGAUUGUCAACCUGUUGGCUGUCACUGGUGGCUGCCUUAUGGGACUGUGUAAAGUAGCGAAGUCAGUUGAAAUGCUGAUCCUGGGCCACUUGGUUAUUGGCCUCUUCUGUGGACUCUGCACAGGGUUUGUGCCCAUGUACAUUGGAGAGAUCUCGCCUACUGCCCUGCGGGGUGCCUUUGGCACUCUCAACCAGCUGGGCAUCGUGGUUGGAAUUCUGGUGGCCCAGAUCUUUGGUCUGGAAUUCAUCCUUGGGUCUAAAGAGCUCUGGCCAUUGCUAUUGAGCUUCACCAUCCUGCCUGCUAUCCUACAAAGUGCAACCCUUCCAUUUUGCCCUGAAAGUCCUAGAUUUUUGCUCAUUAACAGAAAAGAAGAGGAGAAUGCUAAGCAGAUCCUCCAGCAGUUGUGGGGCACCCAGGAUUUAUCCCAAGACAUCCAGGAGAUGAAAGAUGAGAGUGCAAGGAUGUCACAAGAAAAGCAAGUCACCGUGCGAGUGUCCAGCUACCGACAGCCCAUCAUCAUUUCCAUUGUGCUCCAGCUCUCUCAGCAGCUUUCUGGCAUCAAUGCUGUGUUCUACUACUCAACAGGAAUCUUCAAGGAUGCAGGUGUUCAAGAGCCCAUCUAUGCCACCAUCAGUGCGGGUGUGGUUAAUACGAUCUUCACUGUAAUUUCUCUAUUUCUGGUGGAAAGGGCAGGAAGAAGGACUCUGCAUAUGAUAGGCCUUGGUGGGAUGGCCUUUUGUUCCACGCUCAUGACUGUUUCUUUGUUAUUAAAGGAUAACUAUAAUGGGAUGAGCUUUGUCUGUAUUGGGGCUAUCCUGGUCUUUGUAGCCUUGUUUGAAAUUGGACCAGGCCCCAUUCCCUGGUUUAUUGUGGCCGAACUCUUCAGCCAGGGCCCCCGCCCAGCUGCGAUGGCAGUGGCCGGCUGCUCCAACUGGACCUCCAACUUCCUAGUCUGAUUGCUUUUCCCCUCUGUUGCUCACUAUUUAGGAGCCUACAUUUUUAUUAUCUUCACUGGCUUCCUCAUUACCUUCUUGGCCUUUACCUUCUUCAAAGUCCCUGAGACCCGUGGCAGGACUUUUGAGGAUAUCACACGGGCCUUUGAAGGGCAGGCACACAGUGCAGAUAGAUCUGGGAAGGACGGUAUCAUGGAGAUGAACAGCAUCCAGCCUCCUAAGGAGACCACCACCAAUGUCUAA